UACGUAGGGGGCAAGCGUUGUCCGGAUUCAUUGGGCGUAAAGGGUGCGUAGGUGGCGCCGUAAGUCAGGUGUGAAAUCUCGGGGCUCAACCCCGAAACUGCACUUGAUACUGCGGUGCUCGAGUACUGGAGAGGAGAUUGGAAUUUACGGUGUAGCAGUGAAAUGCGUAGAUAUCGUGAGGAAGACCAGUGGCGAAGGCGGAUCUCUGGACAGCUCCUGACGCUGAGGCGCGAAGGCUAGGGGAGCAAACGGG
RNAcentral lists this ribosomal RNA (253 nucleotides) under uncultured bacterium. RNAcentral's name for it is "partial 16S ribosomal RNA". It matches the Rfam family "Bacterial small subunit ribosomal RNA", at positions 524 to 776 of the family's 1533-position model. The record is from RNAcentral.